CCUACGGGAGGCAGCAGUGGGGAAUAUUGCGCAAUGGGCGAAAGCCUGACGCAGCGACGCCGCGUGAGGGAUGAAGGUCUUCGGAUCGUAAACCUCUGUCAGCAGGGAAGAACAGUCACUGUGCUAAUCAGCAGUGAAUUGACGGUACCUGCAAGGUACGCACCGGCUAACUCCGUGCCAGCAGCCGCGGUGAUACGGAGGGUGCGAGCGUUAAUCGGAAUUACUGGGCGUAAAGGGCUCGUAGGCGGUAUGUCAAGUCAAGGGUGAAAUCCCCGCGCUCAACGUGGGAACUGCCUUUGAUACUGGUAAACUGGAGUGUGGGAGAGGAUAGUGGAAUGUAAGGUGUAGGAGUGAAAUCCGUAGAUAUCUGGAGGAACACCAGUGGCGAAGGCGACUAUCUGGCACACAACUGACGUUGAGGAGCGAAAGCGUGGGUAGCAAACAGGAUUAGAUACCCCUGUAGUC
Molecule: ribosomal RNA, 465 nt
Filed under: uncultured bacterium
Lineage: Bacteria
Description: partial 16S ribosomal RNA
Rfam family: Bacterial small subunit ribosomal RNA
Source: RNAcentral